RNAcentral lists this ribosomal RNA (301 nucleotides) under uncultured bacterium. Its description in RNAcentral is "partial 16S ribosomal RNA". It matches the Rfam family "Bacterial small subunit ribosomal RNA", at positions 509 to 807 of the family's 1533-position model. The record is from RNAcentral.
CAGUAGCCACGGGAAUACGUAGGGUGCGAGCGUUAAUCGGAAUUACUGGGCGUAAAGCGUGCGUAGGCGGUUUGUUAAGUCUGUUGUGAAAUCCCCGGGCUCAACCUGGGAAUGGCAAUGGAUACUGGCAAGCUAGAGUGUGUCAGAGGAUGGUGGAAUUCCCGGUGUAGCGGUGAAAUGCGUAGAGAUCUGGAGGAAUACCGGUGGCGAAGGCGGCCCCCUGGACAAAGACUGACGCUCAGGUGCGAAAGCGUGGGGAGCAAACAGGAUUAGAUACCCGAGUAGUCCCUGUCUCUUAUAC